Molecule: ribosomal RNA, 946 nt
Filed under: bacterium YTM085717
Lineage: Bacteria
Description: bacterial SSU rRNA
Rfam family: Bacterial small subunit ribosomal RNA
Source: RNAcentral
UAAAAGCGCGCGUAGGCGGUUAGUUAAAGUUGGAUGUGAAAUCCCCUGGGUCAACCUGGGAACUGCAUUCAAAACUGACUGACUAGAGUAUGCUAGAGGUUGGUGAAUUAUCGUGUGUAGCUGUCAAAUGCGUAGAUAUAUGAAGUAACACCAGUGGUGAAGGCGACCAUAAUGAUGGAUACUGACAAUGAGGUCGCACAGCAGUGUCAGCAAACAGGAUUAGAUUCGCUGGUAGUCCACGCUGUAAACGAUGUCAUCUAGCCGUUGGGAGCCUACACAGGAAAUUCCAGCACCCUCUACCAUAAGUUGUCAGUCAGGGAGUACGGCAGCAAGGUUAAAACUCAAAUGAAUUGACGGGGGCCCGCACAAGCGGUGGAGCAUGUGGUUUAAUUCCAAGCAACGCGAAGAACGUUAGCAGGCCUUGACAUCCAAUGAACUUUGUAGAGAUAGAUUGGGGCGUUUGGUAACAUUGAGACAGGUGAACCAUGGCGGUUGUCAUAUUGUGCCUUGAGAUGAAGGGAAAAGUCCUGUAAAUAGGGCAACCUUUGUCACACGUUACCAGCACGUAAUGGUGGGCACUGUAAGGAGACUGCCGGUGACCAACCGGAGGAAGGUGGGGAGUAUGUCAAGUCAUCAUGGCCCAUACGGCCUGAUCAACACACGUGACCCAAUGGUGAUUACAGAGGGUUGCCAACAUUACGAGGUGGAGCUAAUCCCAGAAAACCGAUUCAGUCCGGAUCGCAGUCUGCAACUUGACUGCGUGAAGUCGGAAUCGCUAGUAAUCGCGAAUCAGAAUGUUGCGGUGAAUAUGUUCCCGGGCCUUGUACACACCGCCCGUCACACCAUGGGAGUGGGUUGCACCAGAAGAGCAAGCUUUAACCUUCGGGGGGACGGUUACCACGGUGUCAUUCAUGACAGGGGUGAAGUUGUAACAAGAUAGCAGUAG